CGGCUCAACGACUUGCUUCAUUGUGAGAUGGUCGUGGCUGAGAGCAAGUAUCAGCCCUGCCUCCGUUGCAUAGCCAUUAAUUGCUGCUAUGGUGGGCAUCGGAAGGGAAAUCAAGUCUUUUACCACAUCCUUGAAGCCAUCAUUCAUUUCUUUGUAUGCUUUAUCCUCUGAGCCUCCAGCAUGGGACCGGACAUACCUGAUCGAGUUGAUACACCACAACUUAUUUGUCACGAAAUGAGCCACCCUGAGCGGUGGUAAUGAGGACGGAGCCCGGGGUGGCCUUGGACUUGACAUUCACCUCUUCAAGAUAACCUCGGAACGAGUCAAUGACUGUUGGGUUCAAAAGAUGCUGAUCUCUUUUGUGGGUUUCGAGCAGAGUGAGUACGAGGGAGUGGCGGAAUUGUUCUAGCCUGAACUUGGUGCACUGCCUUAUUAAGGUUAUCUUCAUGUUAGACUGGUCACGGACUUGGUGGUAAAGGUGGUUUUGGUAGGUAGCAACGAGGAAGAUAGGCCAAUUUGGUUCUUUAGAAGAUAAUGCAAGCCUUUUCUUACACAAUUUUCACUGCGAGUAUUUAUAUGUAUCAGGUUAUUCUAAUGUAUGCCGUAAGGUUCAGGAUAAGAGGUGAAUUAGGUGUUGCUUUGUUACCAAAUAUAUAAAUUUUUUGUAAAA
Molecule: non-coding RNA, 670 nt
Organism: Coffea arabica (coffee)
Lineage: Eukaryota; Viridiplantae; Streptophyta; Magnoliopsida; Gentianales; Rubiaceae
Source: RefSeq, a predicted model, not a curated record